Gossypium arboreum is the source of this 186-nucleotide long non-coding RNA. RefSeq lists it as uncharacterized. The transcript has 3 exons. The record is from RefSeq and is a predicted model, not a curated record. NCBI's taxonomy places the organism in Eukaryota, Viridiplantae, Streptophyta, Magnoliopsida, Malvales, Malvaceae.
CCCCAUGGCCGAAUAUAGCAAGGAGAAACCAUGGCUAGGGUUUUUCAAGCUUCCAAGCUCGCUUAGCAAGGAAAACUAAAAUUCGGGCUAAAAUGGGGAAAAUGCCAAGUUGUGGAUGAAAUGGUAAAAGUAGCCAUUUUCGCAUACGAGGAUAGGUUAAAGUCAGACCGUUGAAUCAGCAUCCUA